UGUCAGAAUUUUCUGUCCCCUUGGCUCCUACUUACUCAAUAUAAAGUUCAGCACUUUUGAGUAAAACAAAGCUCCUCAACUUUGAUUAAUUUAUUUCUGCUUCCUUUAUCAAAUGUAAGUUGCAUGAUCAUGGUAAUCCAUUGUAGGGGGCAAUUGAUGAGUCGAGCAAGACAAAUGUGUGUCAUUUUCAUAAUAUGUCCUGCCAGAGGUCCCGUUUUGAAAUUUUUAACCACAUUAUUGCACAAAUUGCCUAAAGAGAUUAGGUCUAAAUGAUGUGAGUUCAUAUAGCCUCAUCACUCAUGAAUAACAUGACAUUGUACCGAAGAACAAUGCAUUUAUUGCUUGGUAGAUCAGUUUAUCCUUACAGUACUUUCUUCGUCUUCUUUUCUGCAGAUGUUGAUAGCCAGAUAGAAUAUGAAGCAUCUUAUAUGCAAGCUGUGGCUGGGAACAUGCACACACACACACACUCUGCACCUUGAAAUUAGAAAAGGGUCAACUCUGGGAGAUCCCCACAAUGGCACAAACAAUGAUGCUGACAUAAGAACUCCUCCCACAUGCACCAGUAGAGGAACUUGUAAGCGCCAUUUGAAUACUCAAAUAUGUUAGUGUGUCACUACAAUAAAAUUGUAUAAGUAAUGACAAAUACCUUGUAAAGUUACAAGACGUUAAUUUAAUAUUACGUUCUCCAUUUAUCAA
This is a long non-coding RNA of Vigna unguiculata (cowpea), 696 nucleotides long. NCBI's taxonomy places the organism in Eukaryota, Viridiplantae, Streptophyta, Magnoliopsida, Fabales, Fabaceae. The record is from RefSeq and is a predicted model, not a curated record.